AAAUUGAAGAGUUUGAUCAUGGCUCAGAUUGAACGCUGGCGGCAGGCCUAACACAUGCAAGUCGAACGGUAGCACAGAGGAGCUUGCUCCUUGGGUGACGAGUGGCGGACGGGUGAGUAAUGUCUGGGAAACUGCCCGAUGGAGGGGGAUAACUACUGGAAACGGUAGCUAAUACCGCAUAACGU
RNAcentral lists this ribosomal RNA (185 nucleotides) under Citrobacter freundii. Its description in RNAcentral is "partial 16S ribosomal RNA". It matches the Rfam family "Bacterial small subunit ribosomal RNA", at positions 1 to 179 of the family's 1533-position model. The record is from RNAcentral. Lineage: Bacteria; Pseudomonadati; Pseudomonadota; Gammaproteobacteria; Enterobacterales; Enterobacteriaceae.